Molecule: long non-coding RNA, 457 nt
Filed under: Zostera marina
Lineage: Eukaryota; Viridiplantae; Streptophyta; Magnoliopsida; Alismatales; Zosteraceae
Description: long non-coding RNA (ZMAR_LNC003288)
Source: RNAcentral
UUGUAUAAUAUUCUUUAAUUCACACUAACAAUAUUUGAAUAAAUAAACACCACAUUUCAGUCCGAUUACAUCCAUCUUCAAUUCUCCACGAAAUUAAUCUCUUUUUUCCUUCAUUCAUCCAGAUGGUUUAAUAUAUCUACUCAAAGUUGAAGUGAUAAUGUAAGAUUAGACAUGUAUAAACUUGUCGGAAGUAAUAAUUAUGUAAGAUUAGGCUAUUUCUAGUCCUAGCUUAUUCCCAAACAGAUGUACGUACCUGUUGGCCAUCGACCGCACGAUAUCGCGUAUCGAAGUAAACGAUGAGCCAAAGAGGCUUGACCCACGUCGGAGUAGAAUAAAUACUUUUCCUUGGUCAUAAGAGAUCGAGGGAGAAUUGAAACCAUAUAAAAAGUUUACUUAUAACAAAGAGGAUUCCACUGGUAAAAAAAUCUACUUUUCCAAUAUAAGACGACGACGAUCC